GACGAACGCUGGCGGCGUGCCUAAUACAUGCAAGUAGAACGCACAGUUUAUACCGUAGCUUGCUACACCAUAGACUGUGAGUUGCGAACGGGUGAGUAACGCGUAGGUAACCUGCCUGGUAGCGGGGGAUAACUAUUGGAAACGAUAGCUAAUACCGCAUAAUAUUAAUUAUUGCAUGAUAAUUAAUUGAAAGGUGCAAUUGCACCACUACCAGAUGGACCUGCGUUGUAUUAGCUAGUAGGUGAGGUAACGGCUCACCUAGGCGACGAUACAUAGCCGACCUGAGAGGGGGAUCGGCCACACUGGGACUGAGACACGGCCCAGACUCCUACGGGAGGCAGCAGUAGGGAAUCUUCGGCAAUGGACGAAAGUCUGACCGAGCAACGCCGCGAGAGUGAAGAAGGUUUUCGGAUCGUAAAGCUCUGUUGUAAGAGAAGAACGGGUGUGAGAGUGGAAAGUUCACACUGUGACGGUAUCUUACCAGAAAGGGACGGCUAACUACGUG
Molecule: ribosomal RNA, 505 nt
Filed under: uncultured bacterium
Lineage: Bacteria
Description: partial 16S ribosomal RNA
Rfam family: Bacterial small subunit ribosomal RNA
Source: RNAcentral